Rhinopithecus roxellana (golden snub-nosed monkey) is the source of this 827-nucleotide long non-coding RNA. The record is from Ensembl. Lineage: Eukaryota; Metazoa; Chordata; Mammalia; Primates; Cercopithecidae.
GGCGCAUGUACCACCAGCUUUGACAUUGAUUCCCAUGUGUGUGAGUUGCUCUCUGAUUUUAGAUCACAUUUGUCCUCAUCAUUCAGCAUAUCCACGUUGAUAUUGACAUGGUUUUAUUUUAGUUUUAGACAUACGACAAGUCAUAUCACGUUUGAAAUUGUCAGAGUAUAUUUCUUGAAGCCUGUAUUUGUAUUUUCUUCAGUGUAUUUCUUCACGUUUAGUCCCAAGAAACAAAGUAUAAAACAUCAAAGCCUACACUAUUACAGGCAGGAGGAUACAGCCUGAAGCUAACACAGGAUGAGUGUAUGGAUUAUAUUAUCGUAUUUACAUAUGAUUGACUGUGUAUCCCUUUUGCUUUUCAGUGUCUUCUGAGAAACAACCAGCCUGUAAGGUAACUAAACUCUCAUUUGUAUUUUGAACUAUAAUAUUUGUACAGUCUAUUAAACAUACUUUAUGUAUUGAUAAUUUUGUUUCAAAUACCAUUUAGGUUACAAGUGACCAGAAAGAUUCUAUUUUGAAUAUCGCCACAGAAAUAAAGGAUGGACAAAAAUCUGGGACAGUGUCUUCUGAGAAACAACCAGCCUUGAAGGCUACAAGUGAAAAGAACGAUUCUGUUUUGAAUAUAGCCACAGAAACAGAGGAGGGACCAACAUCUGGGACAGUGUCUUCUCAGAAACAACCAGCCUUGAAGGCUACAAGUGACAAGGAAGAUUCUGUUUCGAAUAUAGCCACAGAAAUAAAGGAUGCACAAAUAUCUGGGACAGUGUCUUCUAGGAAACAACCAGCCUUGAAGUGUCUUCUCAGAAACAACCAGCCUUGAAGGUAAU